This 450-nucleotide ribosomal RNA is filed under the name uncultured bacterium. RNAcentral's name for it is "partial 16S ribosomal RNA". It matches the Rfam family "Bacterial small subunit ribosomal RNA", at positions 354 to 796 of the family's 1533-position model. The record is from RNAcentral.
GUGGGGAAUAUUGGACAAUGGGCGAAAGCCUGAUCCAGCCAUGCCGCGUGUGUGAAGAAGGUCUUCGGAUUGUAAAGCACUUUAAGUUGGGAGGAAGGGCAGUAAGUUAAUACCUUGCUGUUUUGACGUUACCGACAGAAUAAGCACCGGCUAACUUCGUGCCAGCAGCCGCGGUAAUACGAAGGGUGCAUGCGUUAAUCGGAAUUACUGGGCGUAAAGCGCGCGUAGGUGGUUUUGUAAGUUGGAGGUGAAAUCCCCGGGCUCAACCUGGGAACUGCCUCCAAAACUGCAUGACUAGAGUACGGUAGAGGGUAGUGGAAUUUCCUGUGUAGCGGUGAAAUGCGUAGAUAUAGGAAGGAACACCAGUGGCGAAGGCUACUACCUGGACUGAUACUGACACUGAGGUGCGAAAGCGUGGGGAGCAAACAGGAUUAGAAACCCCUGUAGUCC